This 300-nucleotide signal recognition particle RNA is filed under the name Mesitornis unicolor (brown roatelo). RNAcentral's name for it is "Metazoan signal recognition particle RNA". It matches the Rfam family "Metazoan signal recognition particle RNA". Rfam says of the family: The signal recognition particle (SRP) is a universally conserved ribonucleoprotein. It is involved in the co-translational targeting of proteins to membranes. Lineage: Eukaryota; Metazoa; Chordata; Aves; Mesitornithiformes; Mesitornithidae. The record is from Rfam by way of RNAcentral.
GCCGGGCACAGUGGCUUGUGCCUGUAAUCCAAGCGCCGGGGAGGCUGAGGCUGGCGGACGGCUUGAGCCUGGGAGUUCUGGGCUGCAGCGAGCUGUGCAGAGCGGGCGUCCGCGCUAAGGCCGGCAUCGAUAUGGUGGUCCUGGGGGAGCCUGGAGGCCACCAGGUCGCCUAAGGAGGGGUGAACCGGCCCAGGUCGGAGACGGAGCAGGUCAAAGCUCCCAUGCCGCUCGGUAGCGGGAUCGCGCCUGUGAACAGUCCCUGUAGCACAGCCCGGGCGAGAGAGCGGGACCCAGCCUCUU